RNAcentral lists this ribosomal RNA (426 nucleotides) under uncultured bacterium. Its description in RNAcentral is "bacterial SSU rRNA". It matches the Rfam family "Bacterial small subunit ribosomal RNA", at positions 64 to 507 of the family's 1533-position model. The record is from RNAcentral.
GAACGCGAGGCGCCCUUUCGGGGGCGUAGUAGAGUGGCGCACGGGUGAGUAACACGUAGACAACCUGCCUUCGAGCCCGGGAUAACCUUUCGAAAGAAGGGCUAAUACCGGAUAACACUUGGGAUCGCAUGAUCCUGGGUUGAAAGGCUUGCUACUCGAAGAGGGGUCUGCGGGACAUUAGCUAGUUGGUGGGGUAACGGCCUACCAAGGCUCUGAUGUCUAGCGGGUCUGAGAGGAUGAUCCGCCACACUGGAACUGAGACACGGUCCAGACUCCUACGGGAGGCAGCAGUGGGGAAUUUUGCGCAAUGGGCGAAAGCCUGACGCAGCAACGCCGCGUGAGUGAAGAAGGCCUUUGGGUCGUAAAGCUCUUUUCCGGGGGACGAGGCUGACGGUACCUCGGGAAUAAGCACCGGCUAACUCCGUG